GUUCAAACAAAACAGGUCUAACCAGGUUAUGCCUGUGUCUCAGGAACAGAGAGACAACCUGUUAAUGGAUGAGAAAUUGAUUUGGUGGUGACUGUUCUUUUUGGCUUAGUAGAAGCUGUUUCAGGAGCUAGAGAGGAAAAGACCAAGAUGCUGAAACUGCAAAUAAAACAGCACAGCCUGGGCAAGAAGAAGGUGAAACCCUGGGUCUUCCUGGACACUGGCCUGGCGUGAGCUAAGCAUCCCAGCAGAUUUCUUUAACACGCCAGGCCUCCGCCCUGUGGGAGAAGAAAGGGAAAUUGAGUUUUGGCAAAGAGACAAAGAUUUGGUGAUCAAAACCAAGAAGUUCCUUGUGUAAAAAAGAAAAGUCUGUAUAUGAGCAAAAGCUGAAUAGAAAAAAAAGU
Molecule: long non-coding RNA, 401 nt
Organism: Hipposideros armiger (great roundleaf bat)
Lineage: Eukaryota; Metazoa; Chordata; Mammalia; Chiroptera; Hipposideridae
Exons: 3
Source: RefSeq, a predicted model, not a curated record